RNAcentral lists this unclassified non-coding RNA (292 nucleotides) under plant metagenome. RNAcentral's name for it is "partial contains small subunit ribosomal RNA, internal transcribed spacer 1, and 5.8S ribosomal RNA". The record is from RNAcentral.
UUUCCGUAGGUGAACCUGCGGAAGGAUCAUUAUUGAAUAAACCUGAUGUGGUUGUAGCUGGCCCUUUCGGGAGCAUGUGCACACCCGUCGUCUUUAUCCUUCCACCUGUGCACCUUUUGUAGACCUGGAUGUAACACUUUCCGAGGCAACUCGGUCGGGAGGAAUGCUGUCGGCUUUCCUUGAAUGUCCAGGCCUAUGUUUUCAUAUACCCCAAAGAAUGUAACAGAAUGUAUUAUUGGGCCUUGUGCCUAUAAACUAUAUACAACUUUCAGCAACGGAUCUCUUGGCUCUC